GAGGACAACACGUGCUUGUUGGAGGCGACUCGAGCGAUGCAGGUCAGCGGCGAACUAGGUGCUCCACUCUUUCUCUCCCACACUUCCUUCCUCACUCAUAUUUUACUUUGCUAAUUUUUGGAUUUUUAAACUUGGCAUGUGCAGAUCUGACAUAGAAGACCACGUUCCUCAUAUUCAAAAGUGAUCUUGUUCCAAUGGCUCUAAUGGUAAUUUAUAACCUCUUUUGAUGUACCGCAAUUGUGUCAAGUUUGCUGACAUCCUCGUGCUGCAACUGGCUUGGUAUAUUUGGUUAAUCGUAACCAGCAAGCUUCGUCGGCCGUCUGAUCUGCCUUUCUGACGUGUCUAAGCCGUUGAAUCUUCACUUGCAGUUAAAUUAUUUUCACCCUACAGUUUAUUUUUCUUCCCGAAUGACUGGUGGACUCGUCUCGUGUCUGUAUUGGGUGGGUAAGCGGCGCCCGGGUGAGAGAGAAUUUGUCCCAUCCGCGCGCCGCGCCCGCACCCAACGCAACCCAAUCCUCUCGUCCCGCACGCCGUGCACACUCCGGUCCCCUCAUCCUGCAUGAAACCUAGGAGAGAGAGAUAGGAAGAUGAGAGGGAGAGAAAGGGGAGAGGAGAGGAGAGGGAGGUCCGGCAGCGGACGGGAGAGGGUGACCGGCCAGCGUCGGCCUACACCGGCGAGGCGUCGGCCUGCGCCCCUCCUCGCGCACGAACCCUAGCUGAGAGACAAAAUGAGGGGGAGAGAGAGAAGGAAGGAGAGGAGGGAGAAAGAGAGAGGAAAGAGGAAAGGGAGGUGCGGCGGCUGACAGGAGAGAGGGUCAUCGGCCGGCGCUGGAGAGGACGGUCCCGACCUGGACGCGACUUGGAGGUUGGCGCCCUUUGUCCAUCCCCUCUAUCCCCACGAGCCGCCGCGCCCCUCCCUCUCCCCCUCAUCCUCUCACCGCAGCCGCCGGCCUUCUCUCCACUCGCCUCCUCCUCUCCUCUAUCACGUUGUCGUCGAUCCACCGCCGGCAUUCUCCUCAGCUUGCCUAGGUCAUCGUCAUGGGAGAGCAGCGACGGCGGUGUCUUCGCGGUGCGGAUGGGGAUGUAGGGGAGGGGUGGGGAUGUACGGGAAGGAGGAAGCCGGUGAGGAAGGCAAGCAACAGCGGGGAAUGAGCUAGGUGAGCGAUCCUAGCGGGUGGGAAGGGGCAGGUUGAGGCCUCGCGCACCUGCCAGCGGCAGGCAGGUCGAAUUGUCGCGCCACCGCGUCGUCGCCUCCUCUGCACCAUGAGGUGCCACCUCUGCCUCCACCCCCCACCGGGCAAGGAGCUCAAGGUGAAUAGGCGGUGGGAAGGUGAGAGGAAGCAGGAGCUCAUCUCUCCUCCAAUGGCUGCCUCGUGCAUCUGGAGGACAACACGUGCUUGUUGGAGGCGACUCGAGCGAUGCAGGUCAGCGGCGAACUAGGUGCUCCACUCUUUCUCUCCCUCACUUCCUUCCUCACUCAUAUUUUACCCUGCUAAUUUUUGGAUUUUUAAACUUGGCGUGUGCAGAUCUGACAUAGAAGACCACGUUCCUCAUAUUCAAAAGUGAUCUUCUUCCAAUGGCUCUAAUGGUAAUUUAUAACCUCUUUUGAUGUACCGCAGUUGUGUCAAGUUUGCUGACAUCCUCGUGCUGCAACUGGCUUGGUAUAUUUGGUUAAUCGUAACCAGCAAAGAGGAGGAGUCACAUACAUGCGCACCUGCCAGCGGCAGGCAGGUCGAAUUGUCGCGCCACCGCAUCGUCGCCUCCUCUGCACCAUGAGGUGCCACCUCUGCCUCCACCCCCCACCGGGCAAGGAGCUCGAGGUGAAUAGGCGGUGGGAAGGUGAGAGGAAGCAGGAGCUCAUCUCUCCUCCAAUGGCUGCCUCGUGCAUCUGGAGGACAACACGUGCUUGUUGGAGGCGACUCGAGCGAUGCAGGUCAGCGGCGAACUAGGUGCUCCACUCUUUCUCUCCCUCACUUCCUUCCUCACUCAUAUUUUACUUUGCUAAUUUUUGGAUUUUUAAACUUGGCGUGUGCAGAUCUGACAUCGAAGACCACGUUCCUCAUAUUCAAAAGUGAUCUUCUUCCAAUGGCUCUAAUGGUAAUUUAUAACCUCUUUUGAUGUACCGCAGUUGUGUCAAGUUUGCUGACAUCCUCGUGCUGCAACUGGCUUGGUAUAUUUGGUUAAUCGUAACCAGCAAAGAGGAGGAGUCUCAUACAUGCCUGCUAUUCUUUAUGUGGUUGUAUGAAGUGUACCUUCAACUAAUCAAGCAACCUGGCAUUAGUAGUUUGUUUAAUUAAUAUCACUCUCAUCAAAGAGUAUGAUAUCAUUUAGCUAGCCUCCUUUCUUUGUAAGAGGGAUAGUGUAAAGGUUAGAAAUGGGUAACGGAAUGAGUGUUCUCAUUUUUACUGCCCCUGGAUUUAGGGAAUAUAUAUGCGUAUAUAUUGAUGCUCAUCGUUGCCAUGUCUGGCUCUUCAGGUGCAUGCUAGCUAGAAGUUCAGAUUUGUAAUCAACGAGUGUAAAAUUGAUUGUCUCUGGUUACUCUCGUGAUCUGUAUCUAGAGGGCAAGUCAGGUCUUGGAAUGCUGAGGUGAGACUUUCCAUGGCCUCUGUUUUUCUUGAUGGGUGGAUUACACAUUACUUCCUUGGAUGUUUAAAGAUUAUUAUAUCAUUGCUCCCCUUUUUAUCGGCAAGCAUUCUCUCAUCUUCUGGUAACUUGAGUAAGAUGCAACACACUAAUGCUUUCUUAGUCUGGUUUGUUGCAAAAAAUAAUUGAAGUGUGCAGACAGGCAGCAUGGAAACACUAAAGAGAAGUUUCAUACGUACUAAUAGCUGGAGUGAUUUGAUACCUGUAGUAACCGUCUUAGAAUAAAUAAGAUUCAGCUAUUUCUAAAGAUAUUAGACCAUAAGAUUAUUCUUAAGUAAAGAUGUUUCAUGCUUCUGUUUCUGCAAAAUUUCUAAGAGUAUAUGAUUUCAUUUUCCUUCUUUCCCAGUUAUAAAUUUAUUGGCAUCAAAGUAGAGCUUCAGGUUUAUGGUUCAGUAUAUCAUUGCAAAGUAGUUUAUGGCUCAGUAUAUCACUACAGGUUCCUUACACUCUCAAAUUUCAAUGUUUUUGUAUUUUUGUCGAUGGAACCAUGUUCUUUGACUAUAAAGUAGCAGAGAUUUCUUUUCUAUCAAUUCUAAUCCCUUUUUAUGCAUUGCUGGUUUGCUAUCAAACUCUCAAAAAUGGAAAAACAACUUUACUUUGGUUUUUUGAGAACCUUCCUGUAGAGUACCUCGACAGAGACAAAUAUGCGGUCAAGGAUAUAUUCGAUGGAUUUUCAUGCCAAACUUGGAGGAUAUUUUUGCAGGUUCGUUGCUUGCAUUAUUGUUUUCUUACUUUCUGUUCUUCAAGACAAUAUCUUCCUAGCAUUGCUCUAUAAAUUUAAAUCCAUCUUUUUGUUCUUUGGAUUAUCAUGGCGUACUCAUCCUGUGUAAUCCAAGCAAGGGCCUUCAUGUUUGCAGAUAGUUUGGUACUCUCGUGGUUAUUUUUGUGGUGAUUUGCCUUCUAUUCAUUACUUGGUAACCAUCUACUGCAGGUCAGCUAUUGUCCAGCUGCUAACCUUAUGGUGAGUGGUUGAUGGUGCAUGUUUUCCUAUUAGUUUCUCUCUAUGCCAAUGUCUGAAUUUUAUCUUGCCGUUUUGCAUUUCUACAGGCCUUUCAUUCUCAUUGUGAUUCCCCGAGAUGCGCUAUUAGUAGGCAUCCACUUUCUAAUAAAAAUUUGGAAGUCAACUUGAAAAGAGUCAUUUAUCUAGCUACAGCAACCUUCCUUGCUUUUGCAAAUAAUACUUUAUGGUUGACAAUAUAGUCUACACCUGCCAAACAUUUACACGUUAGUAUAACCAGAAAGUCAGAUGAUCGUUCCAUGUUGGUUAGCCGUGAUAAAUCAAAUUUCUAGAGUAGCAGAUGAUUCGUGUCAGGUUUCUUUUAGAGAUUGAAAUAUGUCUUGACUCCGAAAUAAGUAGUACAACGUCCAGUUCUGCAUAGGUGAAAGCAUACUGUGCAAAACCGGACAGCCUUCUAAAGCUCUGAAACUACUAUUUGUUUUUGUUUUUUGCGGUUAACUACUACUUGUUGUGUGAUCAGUACCCCCUUUUUAUACUCUGUAUAUGCUUUCUACUUACUAGGAAAAAAUGCGUGAGAACGAUGGCCUAGAGGAUGUGAAUUGCACUCGAAUAUAUGCAGGUUUCUUGCCAAACUAACUGCCACUAUUAUAUUUCAGGUGCUUCUUCUGUAACUUAGUGUAUUUUCCUGGCUCUUCUCAUUUCCUGGCGAACUUUUUAGUAUGUACAGUUGAAUCGUUGGAAGUUGUUUUCUACUAUCUAUAGAGGUUUUAUCCAAACUAUUAGCUGCCUGACUUGCUUUUUCGAAAUACACCGUCCUGAUAGACAUUUCCAUGGGAUGUUAGAAAAAUAUAUGUGAAUUUGCAUACAUUUUAUAAAUUCCUAUCUUUACUUAUCCAUGCUUCCCCAUAGAUAAAUAGCAGGUUCAACAAAAAUGAAUGUUCUCUUUUGUUCAAAUUUCAAGAAAGUGUGCUUCACGCUUCUCUUUCUGCAAUAUGUUUCGGAGUGUAUGAUUUGAUUUUCCUACUUUCCCGGUUACAAUACUGUGUACUUCAUUCCUAGCUUUGCUUGAAAUAGGUAUGCAGGUUAUCGAAAGCUCCAUUUUUCUCCAUUAUAUAGAUUAUAUAGCUUUGUGAUCAAAGGUAGGUUGUCACACAGGGGAUUUGGCUUGUGAAAGUUAUAUACAUCCAUGAGUCCCUAACAAAAUAAUCGCAGCUCAUGUUAAAAGGAUCAGGGAACCUCGACCAUUUUUCUGAAACAUGUCUCAGCUCAUGUUCCGACUUUCUACACUACUAUGUACUUCAUUCUUACCUUUGCUUUUGGAAGUUACAUUCUUUCUUUUCCCUCGUAAACUUGCUAACGAUAUUGGCAAAGUAAUCCCCACUUCAUAUUUCCCAUUGAAUGAAUAACUAAUUUAGAUUGUUCAAAAAUUGUAGGUCAAGAGGCAUGAAUAGGAGCAGGGCAUCACACUCCAGCUCUGAGAAGGAAAGGAUAUGAAGACAAAGAUAUAUGAGUGUUGUGCUCCGACGCAAAAACAUUUUGCGUGUAAUAAUGAACUGUAAUUUACCACAAUCUCUCUACAACAGGCCUACCUAUUACCAUCCGUUGCUUGCUUUUGUAUUAGGAAGUAUGACUCAGUCAUAUAUAUUUACAUUCACGUUGUUUAGUUAUGGUUCGUAUGCAUGAACAUACCUUUUUAACCGAGCUUGAAAAUUCUUAUGUGUAGUGAAAUUGCAUCUAGCACUUUAGACAUCAUAAUCAUAAAUGGUUGCUAAAGAGUUUGAAUUGGUAAAGUGGUUGCAUCCGCUGUUACAGGUCUGGAAUGUUCCUCCAUGCUAAAACCUAAUUUAAUUUUGAAAACACUUUGUGUUUGAAAUUGACAUUGUGCUGUUUGGUGUAAUGGGCCAUUUGUGUAACCAUGCAUGCAGAGAAAUCAGAAAU
RNAcentral lists this long non-coding RNA (5539 nucleotides) under Triticum aestivum (bread wheat). RNAcentral's name for it is "long non-coding RNA (TAES_LNC001445)". Lineage: Eukaryota; Viridiplantae; Streptophyta; Magnoliopsida; Poales; Poaceae. The record is from RNAcentral.